This is a non-coding RNA of Salmo salar (Atlantic salmon), 1428 nucleotides long. The record is from RefSeq and is a predicted model, not a curated record. NCBI's taxonomy places the organism in Eukaryota, Metazoa, Chordata, Actinopteri, Salmoniformes, Salmonidae.
UCUGUUUGUGUGUCUUGAAUAAAUCAAAGAGUUGAGGACAUGAAUUAUCUUCAUCACUAACUCACACCGCGCUGAAACGGAGGAAGAUUUUGGUGUCCCCCAAAUGGCAACCUAUGGGCCCUGGUCAAAAGUAAGUAAUCAAGCAAGCCUUGGAUAAGUCUGUCUCGUCUGAGCCAGAACGGCCCAUAGCUGCUCCUGUUCAAAAGUAGUGCACUUGGGGAACAUGGUGUCAGUUGAGACGCAGCCUAUGUAUGAGACUCCAUCCUGAACACUGUUGCUUUACAGCCUCGUUUAGGAACCCUCUCCUUCUAAUCAUUUGGACAUUUCUCCAAUGCAUCGUUGGAAAACCACAACUGUGCAUACAGGAAAUUGUUUUAUUGCUGCGGCAUUAUAGUCUAGAGGUGAUUUGGAGCCACUAUAACUAUGGCUGCGUGUGUGUGUAGUGUGUGGUUUUGUGUGUCAAUGUGUUUUUGUGUGUACAUGCUGCCUACAUUAUCAGGACCAGAAUGUCCUGACAAGGUAAGAUAUAUAUUUUUUUUUCAGGACUUUUUAGCCUUAAGGGUUAGGGAAAAUUGGAUUUUGAAUGGGAAUACAUUUUUACACCCAAAAGGUCCAGAAAAUGCACGUUAAAAAAAAGCUGUGUUUUGUGUGUGUGUGCAUUAGUGAGCACAAAUAAAAAAGUUUGCCUGGUUCACCCCAGCUUAACUUGGUCAGGAUCAGUUGACCCAUUUUCCAGGGCAGAGAGACAACCCCGGCGCUGUUUUGGCUUCAGAACCCCGGCGCUAUGACGUCACAGUCCCACGUGCCACAUGAGUGGCUAAAACGGGCUUGACCUCUUUCUGAGCUAGAGAGUAAAUGGCCACGGGCCAGUCUGCUUGUGUGUGUUGUUGUGAUGUCACAAUGGGGUCAGUCGGCUUUCACAGCCAACCCAGUUCCCCUUCCUCUGUCCUGCCCUGCUCUUUGCCCGACUAGCUGACUGACUGGCUGUCAUCCCCUGAUUAAAUGCAGUGGGGACCACAGAGAUAGAACACAGAGACAGAAUAAAAUGGUUCUCUCUCUACGGCUGGGACUGUCAUUCACCAAACAGCAGCAUGCUCUUAUACAAGGUGGAAAGCUGUAAAGAUCCCUGAGACUCUUUAUAAAUCUGACACAAGUGAGGGAGAGAAACACAGAGAGAGAGAAACAGAGUGAGAGAGAAACACAGAGAGAGAGAGAAUCACAGAGAGAGAGACAGAAAUUGUGUGAGAGGAAAAGGACAAGAAAUUUGCAAGAGAGAAAGAGAAAUGAAGAAAGAGAGAGAGAGAACGAGAGAGAAAGAGAGAGACAGAUAGGAAAAUAGGGAGAGGGAUGAAGAGAGAGAGGCAGGGAGAGAAAGUAAUUUCCCUGCUGUCAGAAGGUUCAGUGCUCUGAGGAACACUGAGGCUAAUG